This is a long non-coding RNA of Hippocampus comes (tiger tail seahorse), 1296 nucleotides long. RefSeq lists it as uncharacterized. The transcript has 4 exons. The record is from RefSeq and is a predicted model, not a curated record. Lineage: Eukaryota; Metazoa; Chordata; Actinopteri; Syngnathiformes; Syngnathidae.
GCAGUGUGGGCGGGGCGUCUCCCCAAUCAUUGCACCUGCCAAUGUUCACCUUGUCAGCCACACUCUCCUCUGCAACAUACAGGCCAGUCUGAAGAUCUGACAAACUGUUGCCAGUUUGUCAGCUACUUUCACUGCCAUCCCCUCUCCUGCCCAACUCUCCAGUGCACCUCAGUUUGGUUUUUCUGACUGCCUUUGGUUCCUGCCUCCUUGACCUGGCCCUCUGCCCUGACAACAAACCAGUACUGAGUUCACUGUGUCUGCCUGCAGGUCCUGUGCUUGUCUUAAGGAGAUGCAACCAGAACUGUUGGUAAAAUGCAGACUGUCACCUCGAUUGUCCACCCUGCCGUCAUCUACCGUAUGUGAUGUCUCAACAAAUCAAAAACGGGCUGUGGAGCGCCAUCACUGAAGCUGACGUGAUAUAUACAGAUUCCACGCACGGCAGUGCAGAGCAAGUAGCCCCAGCAGAGGCCAGGGACGCCGUCUUUGUUGACGUGUCAGUCGCCAAGGCAGCAUCUCAGCAUGCUUCACCAGUGGCCAUGACAGGGGAUGCAGAGCCCAUGAAGGGGGAUUAGUGCUGCACCUAUUGUCUGAGGAGCAUAGCAGUGUUGGAUUCAAGGCUAUUCAAAUACUGUAUUUCUAUUCUUUGGCACUUGACAGGGACGCUCAGUGGCCCCACUCUUGUAUCAAAAUGUGUAAAUGUCAUGCCCCCAGUCGAAGCCCUUAUUAUCUCAGUUGACAUGACAAGCAAAGGUAGGAUGGUGGAUUCUGUUUUUGCUGUCUGCUGCCUGACCUGAAGGUUAGGCUCUCUCUCCUUUUUUUUUCUUUUUUUUUUUUUUUUUAAUGGGUUAGGUGGGAGCUUGUUCUUGUCUACGAAUUAUUCUUCAGUGUGUUCAAGCUGAAAGGAGAGCACUUUGACCUAGACUUAACCUUCAAAGGUUUUUGGUUGGAUUUGAUGUUAUGAAUACUAAAUUAAGGGAUUUUUUUCCUUUUGGUUGGUUGUUGGCUUUGUUUUAUUGACAUCCUUUUAUCAUUGAAAUCUGCCGUGACCUUGCAUACUCCAAUAUAACGCAGUACAAAAAAAAAAAAAAUCACCGUUUUAAAUCCCUCUCUUACAAAGAAAUGAUUUUUAAUUGUUGAAAAAGUUCUCGAAUUGUUCAUUUAGAUUUUCAUACAGUAUGUUUACGCCUGCUGCCUACUUAGUUUCAGUGUAUGGUAAUCUUUUACUCAACUCCACUGUGUUUAUAGAGCACUUGGAAACAGCCAUCACUGUAUACAAAGUGCUGUACAUGGAGCAAA